AUGGCAUAUUUGAGUAGGAAGCUGGGCAUCCAGAGGGGAACGUCUGUCGGAUGGCAUUUAUGGUUUGCACCGAGAAGGAAUGUAGCCAAUUCUAAUUUUAUAAGAACUUGUGCACGGACAUCGGGCUUGGCACAAGAUGUUUGUAUCCACUCUUUGGAGGGAGAAGGUACCGGAGGGCGGGCCUUGGACCUUUCGAGGCAACCUUGUGUUACUAGCACCAUAUGUUGGAUUCACAAAACCAUCAAUGAUUAUGUUGUACCAGCUGAAAUUUUGGCCGAAGGUUGCUUAAGGGAGGAGAUCAAGGGGAAUAGCAGAUUGGUCGAAGGAAAGGCGAGGUAA
This 339-nucleotide ribosomal RNA is filed under the name Triticum aestivum (bread wheat). RNAcentral's name for it is "partial small subunit ribosomal RNA". The record is from RNAcentral. Lineage: Eukaryota; Viridiplantae; Streptophyta; Magnoliopsida; Poales; Poaceae.